UAAUGGCCUACCAAGGCGACAAUCCGUAGCUGGUCUGAGAGGACGACCAGCCACACCGGAACUGAGACACGGUCCGGACUCCUACGGGAGGCAGCAGUGGGGAAUAUUGGACAAUGGGGGAAACCCUGAUCCAGCGACGCCGCGUGUGUGAAGAAGGCCUGCGGGUUGUAAAGCACUUUUAGUGGGGACAAAAAGCUACGGACUAAUACUCUGUGGUCAUGAUUUAACCUACAGAAAAAGCACCGGCUAACUCUGUGCCAGCAGCCGCGGUAAUACAGAGGGUGCGAGCGUUAAUCGGAAUUACUGGGCGUAAAGCGCGCGUAGACGGUUUUGUAAGUCAGAUGUGAAAUCCCUGGGCUCAACCUGGCAACUGCAUUUGAGACUGCAUGGCUAGAGUAUCGAAGAGGGAAGUGGAAUUUCCGGUGUAGCGGUGAAAUG
RNAcentral lists this ribosomal RNA (438 nucleotides) under uncultured Gammaproteobacteria bacterium. Its description in RNAcentral is "bacterial SSU rRNA". It matches the Rfam family "Bacterial small subunit ribosomal RNA", at positions 258 to 688 of the family's 1533-position model. The record is from RNAcentral. Lineage: Bacteria; Pseudomonadati; Pseudomonadota; Gammaproteobacteria.